GUAGUUCUGUGGUGCGUAUGUUGAGAAUACAGAAAUCCUACAAUUAUUAAAUUGGGGGCUGUCGCUGGCGAUGGUGAGCAGGCCCGGUUUCGACCCGGGAAGCCUAAAAUCGUUAAAUGGCCACCCACCUAGAGAAAUUGGGAUUUCGGAUUCUCCAGGCACUCACAGAACUUAU
Molecule: non-coding RNA, 175 nt
Filed under: Bdellovibrionales bacterium
Lineage: Bacteria; Pseudomonadati; Bdellovibrionota; Bdellovibrionia; Bdellovibrionales
Description: 6S RNA
Rfam family: 6S / SsrS RNA
About the family: E. coli 6S RNA was the first non coding RNA to be sequenced, but its function was unknown until recently. It consists of 184 nucleotides that fold into an extended hairpin structure with a large single-stranded internal bulge. The 6S RNA specifically associates with RNA polymerase holoenzyme containing the sigma70 specificity factor.
Source: RNAcentral